RNAcentral lists this unclassified non-coding RNA (1275 nucleotides) under Hevea brasiliensis (rubber tree). The record is from RNAcentral. Lineage: Eukaryota; Viridiplantae; Streptophyta; Magnoliopsida; Malpighiales; Euphorbiaceae.
AAGGGUGAGCUUGAACCAACCAUGAAGGGAUCGGAUAAAGUCCCUUUGAAAUUUUAUCAGGCGACAAUAACUCGAGUGCCAUGCAGAUACAGCAGACUCAAGGUCACGAGUUGCCUGCCGGUGUAGGUCAGAUGUCGAUUGACCUUUAAUUUCUCUGUUGAUGAGGCCACGCACCUGCUGCACAAUGUCAUUCUGAACUUGAUGGAACUGGUUCAUGGAUUUCCACAUGUACAUAAAUCCAUGACAAAGUUCAACAAGCUGCGGGACAAGGUCAGAGUCCCUUAGGCCAAUAAUGGCAGAGGACGUAGUGGAAACAGCUUGCGAUGUGACCACCAUCAGUGACUGCAACCUUGUUAUUGAGGCCUUGGUUUUGUCCAACUUGGCUAUGUCAUCACUUCUGCUUUCCUGACUCUGUAAUGUUGCCAACUUCUUUUCAUGCUCAAUUUUAACUCCUUCCCUCGCCUUCACUUCCUGAUACAGUUUCUUUUCCCAUGCCAAGAGUCGCUCCAAGGUGGAACAAAGACUCUUUUGCCCACCUUCAUCAAUAGAACUAGGUUCAAAACGAUACUUGACCGCCAAUGGAGGUUUUGAAGACCAGGUGGAGCUUAUGGUGCUAAAAACUCCACCGGAAUGAUACACAGUUUUCUUUAACUGCUUAAAGCUCCGGUCAAGCUGAGCUCGACCUGUCUCCAACAUCUCAGACACCUGCUCACCAGCAGAAGCAGUCUUAUCAAAGUGUUCCUUAAUGGCAGCAACAAUCUCUGCUAGAUCCUUGUGCCUCACCACUAUACUUCUAUCAGAUACCAUCUCCACUUUCCCAUUUCCGUUCCCCCAACUCAUCGAAGACGACCCACCGUCCUCCGACAUCUUAUCAGAUUUCUUCACUGAGAAAUUCUUUGAAUUCACAUUAAUAUUAGAACCUUCCUCAUUCUUCACGGAAGCAGUAGACCCGAAAUUCGAUCGGGAUGGCCCAUACCCAGAUCUUAUAUCAUCCUUUUCCUCUACUUCUUCUUCUUCAUCGUCGUCAUCAUCAGAUGAAGUUGUAGUACUGUAAUGAUCGUGAUCUCCCCACUCGCUGCACUGUACCUCUUCUCUCUCAGCUUCACUCUCCCAGUUAUUCAAAUGGUGGGCUGCAUAGUUCUGCUUGUUUUCACCAACCUUUUUCUGAUUCCGGACAGACCCGUUUGCCAAUUUCUCAUCGUUAAUACUAUCAGUAUCGAAAAAGUCAAAUUGCUUGUUCGAUUUCCCAUGAAGUGAUUGGUCACUAGGAUGAUG